ACUCUAAUAGCUUAUUUUAGAGCAUAAUAUUGAAGAUAUUAAGGAGGGGGUUUCCUUAGGGUA
This 63-nucleotide transfer RNA is filed under the name Anaplecta sp. 1 ZQW-2020. Its description in RNAcentral is "tRNA-Phe". Lineage: Eukaryota; Metazoa; Arthropoda; Insecta; Blattodea; Anaplectidae. The record is from RNAcentral.